GUGCUCGAUUUGGCAACACACAUACUAAAAAUUGGAUCAAUAAGAAAAGAUUAGCAUGCUCCCUGUGCAAGGGUGAUUUGCAAAUUAAUUAAAUGAUCCAUAUUUUU
Molecule: small nuclear RNA, 107 nt
Organism: Sorex fumeus (smoky shrew)
Lineage: Eukaryota; Metazoa; Chordata; Mammalia; Eulipotyphla; Soricidae
Source: RefSeq, a predicted model, not a curated record